AGUGCGCGCGGGGUCUUGCUGUUUAACGUUCGCUGCCACGAACCAACGGGCGCCUUUUCUUCAGCUCACCGCACCUCCUCUACAGUGCGUCCACCCGGGGUCUUGGCUGGAAGUCACUAGGUGCAGCGCUUUAAGACUGUAUGGACGCCCACAGCGGUGGAGCUCUAUGAGGAACAGUUCCACUCUCCUCCUCCUCGGCCUUCACACAGCUGAGUUGAACAGACGACAUGAAGCUGUAGGUAAGUACAGUAACAAAACACUGAUACAGAUCUAGGGAGAAGUCAGCCAGCCAUGAUGAAAACACAAUCCUGCAGAGAUUACCUGCCAGCCUCAUGCUCAGAACCCUUGAAAACACCCAAUCUAAAUUAAAAUACAUGAAGCUU
Molecule: long non-coding RNA, 383 nt
Organism: Chinchilla lanigera (long-tailed chinchilla)
Lineage: Eukaryota; Metazoa; Chordata; Mammalia; Rodentia; Chinchillidae
Exons: 2
Source: RefSeq, a predicted model, not a curated record